This 603-nucleotide ribosomal RNA is filed under the name uncultured fungus. Its description in RNAcentral is "eukaryotic LSU rRNA". It matches the Rfam family "Eukaryotic large subunit ribosomal RNA", at positions 23 to 641 of the family's 3401-position model. The record is from RNAcentral. Lineage: Eukaryota; Fungi.
ACCCGCUGAACUUAAGCAUAUCAAUAAGGGGAGGAAAAGAAACCAACAGGGAUUGCCUCAGUAACGGCGAGUGAAGCGGCAAAAGCUCAAAUUUGAAAUCUGGCGUCUUCGGCGUCCGAGUUGUAAUUUGUAGAGGUAGCUUUGGGUGUACAGCCAGGUCUAUGUUCCUUGGAACAGGACGUCCAGGAGGGUGAGAAUCCCGUAAAUGGCUUGGCCAGUGCCUAUGUAUAGCGCCUUCGACGAGUCGAGUUGUUUGGGAAUGCAGCUCUAAGUGGGUGGUAAAUUCCAUCUAAAGCUAAAUACUGGCGAGAGACCGAUAGCGCACAAGUAGAGUGAUCGAAAGGUGAAAAGCACUCCGGAAGGAGAGUUAAACAGCACGUGAAAUUGUUGAAAGGGAAGCGCUUGAGACCAGACUCAGGUAAAGUUGAUCAACCUCCAUUCUUGGUGGUGCACUCUUCUUUGCCCGGGCCAGCAACAGUUUUGGCGGUGGUAUAAAGGUUUAGGGAAUGUGGCUCUCUUCGGGGAGUGUUAUAGCCCUAUUCGUAAUGCUGCCUGUCGAGACUGAGGACCGCGCUUCGGCUAGGUUGUUGGCAUAAUGGUCUU